GUCUUAGCAAAUACACUCAUUAAGUUUUCUCUAACAGGUGUUUGUACUGAAACAUUUAAUUGGUAACUGAGCUUAGCAGUUUCUCCUACGAGCCUCGGUCUCCCUAUUUUCUUUCCUCAAAUUCAAAUUGGUCCUGAUUGCUUAUGAUUGCACAUGUGAUGAAGCAAAGAUAUUCAAAACCCCAAGAUUUCCUCUGGCAUGUUCUGAUGUUAUUUAAGACUUCUUCAAGAAUCCUGGUGGAAGGCAGAGAGGAAUGGUCUGCUGUUAGAGAUGAAGUCAUUAGCAUUGUGCACUGAUAAAGACGGAUGACUCGUGGAAAGUGGUGAUGAGGAGUUGGAAGGGUAGGGGAAAAAAAGCCUGGAGCGUGAUGGCCUGACUGGUAUUUUAAGAAGGACAUCUUCAUUCCUUCCUGCCAGAGUGAGUGAUCUACCUCCAUUUGCCAUGGUAGCGAGCCGCCUGACCCUGCGGGGGCAGUCCGGCCGACUGGCCCUUCUUGGGGGCAGCGAGCAGUGUGUCCCUUAAGCAGGCUUGACCGACCUACAGUCCCACUCUCUGCGGUCAGGCCCUGGCCAGAGGGAUUUGAGAUGUGGCAGCAUAAUCAAUUUCCAUGAUUCAUGAUCACCCCAAAUGGAGGUCGUGCUGAGCGACUGGGCAGCUGAAAGAAGAGAGCAGACGGGGAAUGCUGACAACAGAGCUGAGUCCACUGCCAUGUAUAGGAGAGGCGACGCUCUUCCUCAGGCUGCCGUGGGGUCAGGUCUUCCUCUUUGCUGAGUAACUACAUCGAUCCCAACACAGCAAUUCUUGUUCUAAUCAGCUCCAAAGAAAAUCUGCUGAACAGACUCAGCAACAAAACGGCCAAUAGCAGCAGGGUGGCGCUGGUGUGAUUUAUCUCACCUGUCGUUGUUCUGUCUUUGACGAAAACAACAACUGUGGUCGACGUUCUCACGGGGAAAUUGGAGAGAGCUCUUCUUAGGUAACUAGUUUAACUGCUGGAGAAUCAACAAAGAUAUUAGUCAGUCACAUGAGUUAAUGGUGUGACGUCUCACACUGUAAACAGCUGUUGGAGUCAUAUCAUGGCAGUCAUGGCGGAUUCCAGACCAGUUCACAAAAACGGUUUCCUCCCUCUCGUAUCAUGUUCAGCUCAAGCCACCAGACAUUUUGUUUAGUUUGUUUACAUAUAAUUGAAAUCUGAAAAAGAAAAAAAAAGGAAAAUUAGCAAAACUGUUUUUAUAUCGCAUUUAAUUUUUUUUAUUGUCUUCUUUGGGCAUUUUACCUCUGAUGUAACAGGCAAUUAUUUCAUAUCUCUUAUUUCUAGUGUUGCCUAAUACAAUGACUUGGUUGCUUAAUUGGUCAACUUAACUAGUAGCUUAGGUUAAAUGUAAAAUGGGUUUUUGGAGUUGUCAUAAUAUCUACAUUGUUAUGUUUGAAAUUUCUGCUGAAAUGUACAAUGGUAAAUAUAAUGUCUUAUUCCAAAUCCAAAAGUCGAACAAAACAUCACAUCAUAGACAUAAUACUCAGAAAUAAUCCUGUCAUAAAUAAACACCUGUUAGCUGGCUGCGUCUAAUGUCACACUCCCUCUGCAUUUGUUUGUCCAGCUAUCAAGGUCAUGGUCCUUGUCCUAUUAGCAGGCUAUGGCAGCCCUGUGUGCUCUAUAUGGAGAAGGUGGUGAUGAUUGUGCUUAUGUGUGGGUGGGGCAUAGAGACAGGAGGCAGGGCUGAAGCUCAGGAGUUGAGAUGUCUGCCCCUGAGAGGACAGCAGGAGGUCGGCCUCUCCUGCCCAGACGACCGCUGACCCCCAUGGAGACAGUCCCGCUUCAAGUUGCUGCCGGGUCUCUUUGAAAACAUCCUCGGCCCUGCUUGAGUGAUUGGCCAUAUGGGCCACUGUGCCAUCCAGGAAUCCCCCCACCCCACUGUGCAAACGUGGAGCUGUGGGAGACGAGAGGAGGAAGCUUGGCAAUCUCCACCGAGAACCGUAACACAGACGUCUGGUCUGCAGUUUACCACAGCUAGGCGGUGGACCCUUUUCAGGGCCAAGGACCAGGACUCAAGUAUUGACUACCAGGGACUGUGGAAAUAAAGGUGACCCUCUGCCCCAAGUCCGGAUGAAGUCCACCAGUUCCCAUGAUCUUCCUGUAUGGAGGUUUCUCUCUGCCUCAAAUUGUGUUUGGUUUGCUGUUCAUAACUAUAAAAAGGAUAGGCAGAAUAAUAAAGAGACAGAAUCAUUUGCAGAAGUGAGGGUCCUGCUGUAGUUUCUUGCAGUAAAGAAAUAGCUGGUUCAAAAACUGAUGGCGUGUUUUUACAGGUCUGUCUAAGCUGAGACUCUCAAGUAUAGGAAGAGGAUAAGGAUCAUCAUCAAAAGAUUGAAAUCCCAGAUAUAAGAGAUUGAGAUGAGCUGACUCUGUCGGAUAGGUGAGCUCAGUCUAUAGGACUCUGCAUGUUCAAGCAGAAGUUAUGAAAUCAUUUGUCACUGUCACAGCUGCAUUACCAAAAUUGUAUCAUUUUGUUGUCAGCCUCAAAUCUUCCACCCCUUUUUGUCACAACCCCCAAUGCAAACGUUUUGUACCUGCCCUCUGCAUCUGAAACUAUUGUGUGAUUGGUCAGAAUUUCAUGGGUCUGUUUGUUUAUGAUGGAAAAAAACCCCAAACUACUCAACUUCCAGAAACUGGUUUUUCAGCCAGAAAGCAGGAUGGAUAGUUUUGAGAAGCGCUUGUCCAAGGUCGUGAGAAAGUACAUACCAUUGGACCGAAACACUGAACUCCCCCAGUUUGCGUCUUGUCUGACGCAGAUACAAAAACAGAACAAAAAAUAUGAUUAAAUUUUGUAGGGGAUCAGCACUGUGAAGUUUGUCUGUCAGCUGUUCUGCAAUUCUUGAGAAAUUAACAAAAUAUCUUUUUGUCAAAAAAUGUAACAAAUCUGAACAUUUUGACUUUUAAUAUGCAAGGAAAUUUAUGAAAAGUUGCUCAUUAUGCUUUAUAAUGAGCCUUUGACUUUAUGAACAAAUCAGAUUUGAACUUUUGAACAUGAUGUUUUGAACCCCUGAUCUAUAUUUUUUUCUGAACUAUAGUACAGCAGACAGAGCUUUGAGAAAUAUAAUUUAUUCACAUAUCAGUUUAUUUUGAAAUUCCACUGAUGGCAAAGCUGCUUCCUUCUGUUUGAUUGGUUGAUCAUGUGACCAUUGUUCCAGAUAAACACAUUGUGUUAAUUAUCGUUGUUUUCAUACAUUCACUUCAUGAUGCAGUACUCAAACCAUUCAAACAUUAUGUUUAUAGUUUCUUUGCUUUUUAUAAAUAAAUGUAUUAAUUCUACAGAGAAAUGUGGAGUUGUCUGGACACUGAAGGUUUAUUAUGCUCUUUAAACAUCAAAACCCUGCACCUGCAAAACAUUGGCCCAUAUAUCUUCAAACCGAAGUGUCAAGACUUUUAAUAGCCGAUCCUGCAGGAGGACCAGAAGUUCUUUGAGUUAUUCAUAACAGCUGAAUCAUGAAGAAUGGUAGAAUCCUUUAGUGGGAUUUUCAUUGUUUUAUUUAUACCUGAUAACAAGGAUCAUAAAGGUAUUUUGUGGCUGAUGCCGGGCCAAUCUUCUUGUUCUCUCAUAGGUUUAUUUCACAACACUUUAUGCCGCUCCUUCUGCUCCGCAAAAUGAGAUUUCAUCAGAGUUGUAAAUCUCCAUGUCAGGGAUUUUCUUUGAUUUUUUUCAAUCCCUCCUUCCUUCACAUCUCUCGCUCUCUCUGUUUCUUCAGCGCAUGAUUGUGCAAAGCCUCAGAGGCUUACUUGGCAGCAACUGAAAAGGCAGAGGGGGUUAAAAUGAACAAAAGUAAUUUUAUGUUUAUGGGUACAAAUUUUCUCACAUUUUGUUGCAGUUAAAUGUUUUGGCUGCACAUUUGCCUCGGUGAAUGGAGAAGGUGGUGGGGAAUCCCUUGGAAAUUGCAGGGUUUUUUUUUAGUUCUCAUGCUUUACUUCACACAGAGUUUUAUUUAUGAAAUCACCCUCCCAUAUGGUUGUAGUUGCUUUAAGGUUAGAAAGUACUUUCACCCAACUUCAACAGAUUCUUUUUCAAUUUUACUUAAGUCAAUGCCAGCAGGUGGAGUCAGGGAAAUAAGUGCUCUGUUAAAAGAUGUGGUAAUGGUGAUAAUCCCAAAUGUCAUCAGAUAAAAGACAAGCCUUUUUCUGCUAAAUUAUAUAGAAAUCAAGUGUAUCUACUAUGCAUGAGCCUCUUAUGAUCACACAGCACUCUCUGGUAAAGUGUAGGGUAUGAUUUGUGGUCGUUUUCAAAGUGCUGGUGUGAGGACGCUUCAGCGAAAAAGGCUGAUCCAUAUCUCUCCUUAUUUGAUCAGCCCCAGUUCAAAAAACAUGUUCCAAGUAAAGCUUGACGCCUCUGUGCUGUCAGAUACUACAGAAGCUAAAAUAACUGACAACUAAACAUUUAACAUUUCUUCCUAGUAAUGCAUAUUUCACACCAGUAAAAUGUGAAAUAAGUCAGCAGCACAGACUUUGCUCAUAGAAUCAUAAAAUAAAACCUUCUCUGCUUGAAGAGAAGAUCUUUGUGAAGAAUCAGCUGUUUCUCUUUUGUAAUCAGUGCAGACUGAUUAAAGGCAAGUCAGUCACAGAAUCAGUUAAGUGACUUUAACAUUGUUGGCUACAGCAUUGCACUCUGUGCUAGUCCCUAGUUAAAACAUGAAUGUUUUAAUGCUGCGUCAGUGUUACAGCAGGAGCUAAAACGUGAUCCUGUGAUUUACCUGCACUUUCAAACAGGUCUCAAACAUUUGGAAUUGAAUUAAUUUCACACACUUAUUUCAAAACCUGCCAUCAUCCAUGUUCAUAAAUACACCGUCAAGUGCUUAUUUCUGUUAAUUGUCUUUACCAAGUUAAUUUAAUUAUCUUACAGCUCUUAGAAAAAAAAUAAAUAAAUUGUUAUAUCCAAUCAUGAGGAAGAUUGCUGACUUGACAUUUACACCAACAAAAAAGCUGACUGUUCAUUGCCGAAUGCAAGCAUAUUUAUUCAUGGAAAUUUGAGUGGAAGGAAAAUAUGUUGGAAAAAAAGGUGCAAAAGCAAAAGGGAUAACUACAGUCUUGAAUCAAAGCUUUUUCAAAAGUUUGGGGAGGCUGACAAAACACUGUGGUGCUUAAAGAACCGCAUGCAGACGUGUUAAGGUCAUGGGCUAUAAGGCAAAAUCCUUGUGACUAGAGACACCAAGCAUCUUACUUAGGCUAAAAAAAUUAUUAUUAUUAUUAUUAUUAUUAUUAAUAAUAAUAAUUUAUUUAUCAACUCCAAACUAAGAACAGUCAUCUACCAGGAAAUUAUAGAUCAGGUCCUGCUUCAUUCUGAUGACAAGAUGCUUUCAUUUUCUAAUAUGAAUUACAACAACAUUUAAUUCCCCUAUGGGAUCAAUAAAGUAUUUUUUAAUGUAAAUUUGAAUUUCCAAGAGGACUUGGCAUCAACCCACACAGUCAGAGGUACCAGGAACUAAUAUAAUCACCAAUCUAGAAAACCUUUUUCUCAGAAGUCAACAUCUUCUGCAAAAUCAUCUUAGCUCUUCCAUCAGCAGUAAAGUGAAACACUUAACACCAGCUUGACAAAGGUCAUUAAUUUUGUCAAAGUCUUAAGCAGGUGCUGGAAAAGCAGAUAAUGUGGGAAAAAUCCAGCUAAGGAAAUAAAGGCCAAGAGAAUAAAGGGAAUGAAGGCACUUUUUUCUCAGACAAACUUCAACCUUUUACUCCCUGCUAGACAGCAUUGUCAUAAAUUAUGCAUUGUUAAGGUUCUGAAUACCUUUUGGCACCUACUUCAAAAGAAUUCAGAUGUUCUGCUUGUUAGCUUCAGAUUUGGCAUGAAGAAAGGGGCACGUGGUACCUCCACAUCUGGAUGCCAGCACCUUGGCUGAUAUUGAGACUUUGUCUCUUGUGACAUCUUUAUGAUCACAUGCUGUUACCCAUUGCACCCAUUGGGUUUUUGGCCAUAUCUCCCACAAUAAACCUCACAACCUUCACCCAGCCUCCUUAUCACCCAGGGAUCCCUCUUCUAGUUAACUCUGACGGGAAUGUAAAACAUUUGAAGUGUCUUUUGAUUCCAGCCCUUUGCAAACGUUGCUGCUAAAUGGAACCUUGCAAAGUUGGGUGGAACCCAUCUUGAGCGACCUGCAGAGAAACCAGCCUACACACCUUGUCUUCAUUACUACAAUAUAGUCCUUUUAUGAUGUUCCCCUAUCAAUGAAUCUAUCUCGCCUUUCCUGAUUUAUUGUCUGGCCCCGCGGUGGCCCCUGAAGCCUUUGACCUCCUUAAAAUCUGCCUCUGAACAAAUGGCAAGAGAAUAAAAAAGAAGAGUGUUGUGUAAUUGUUUUUUUUUUCUCCUUACUUUUUCAAGUGUUGACUCUUGCACAUACAGUAUUUCCACUGUUACCUUCUCUGCAGCUGGCUUCACUUAGGAAACCGUCCACAUUGUAGGCUUUGAACAGGUGCAGAGUGGAAACUGUUAACCAGGAAGGCUGCAUAAACACUCAGCAGGCUGUAAGACAAAGGCCUGCUGCUGUUUUAAUCUCCCAGAAGUAUGGGAACUAGAAUAAGGAAGUGGAAAUAUGAAAAAUGUCUUCACCCAGAGCUAAACUGGCUUCAACUAUAAUUGUUGAAACUAAAAUGUUUUGAAUCUUCAUUAAAA
Molecule: long non-coding RNA, 6647 nt
Organism: Xiphophorus couchianus (Monterrey platyfish)
Lineage: Eukaryota; Metazoa; Chordata; Actinopteri; Cyprinodontiformes; Poeciliidae
Exons: 4
Source: RefSeq, a predicted model, not a curated record